This 201-nucleotide ribosomal RNA is filed under the name uncultured bacterium. RNAcentral's name for it is "partial 16S ribosomal RNA". It matches the Rfam family "Bacterial small subunit ribosomal RNA", at positions 335 to 527 of the family's 1533-position model. The record is from RNAcentral.
ACUCCUACGGGAGGCAGCAGUAGGGAAUCUUCCGCAAUGGACGAAAGUCUGACGGAGCAACGCCGCGUGAGUGAUGAAGGUUUUCGGAUCGUAAAGCUCUGUUGUUAGGGAAGAACAAGUGCCGUUCAAAUAGGGCGGCACCUUGACGGUACCUAACCAGAAAGCCACGGCUAACUACGUGCCAGCAGCCGCGGUAAUACA